Molecule: small nucleolar RNA, 127 nt
Organism: Budorcas taxicolor (takin)
Lineage: Eukaryota; Metazoa; Chordata; Mammalia; Artiodactyla; Bovidae
Product: small nucleolar RNA SNORA11
Exons: 1
Source: RefSeq, a predicted model, not a curated record
GGGGUGUGCCCAGAGCAGGGGCCUAAAGAAUUGGCUUCUCUAUUUGCAAUACACCCAACAGGAAUCUGGGUUAUUGUGACAGGGGCACACAACUUGUGGCCUUCCUAUGAAGAAAUAUUCUAUACAG